GCGCGGGGGCAACCCUGGCGGCGAGCGGCGAACGGGUGAGUAAUGCUUCGGAAUCUUCCUCGGUAGUGGGGAAUAACCUGGGGAAACUCAGGCUAAUACCGCAUACGAACUACGGUUGAAAGCAGGGCGAUCGCAAGACCUUGCGCUAUGAGAUGAGCCGAAGUCGGAUUAGCUAGUUGGUGGGGUAAAGGCCUACCAAGGUCGACGAUCCGUAGCUGGUCUGAGAGGACGACCAGCCACACUGGGACUGAGACACGGCCCAGACUCCUACGGGAGGCAGCAGUGGGGAAUAUUGGACAAUGGGCGCAAGCCUGAUCCAGCGACGCCGCGUGUGUGAAGAAGGCCUGCGGGUUGUAAAGCACUUUUAGUGGGGAUGAAAAGCCGAAGGCUAAUACCUUUCGGUCUUGACCUAACCCAAAGAAAAAGCACCGGCUAACUCUGUGCCAGCAGCCGCGGUAAUACAGAGGGUGCAAGCGUUAAUCGGAAUUACUGGGCGUAAAGCGUGCGUAUCGGUUAUCUAAGUCGGGUGUGAAAUCCCGGG
RNAcentral lists this ribosomal RNA (541 nucleotides) under uncultured bacterium. RNAcentral's name for it is "bacterial SSU rRNA". It matches the Rfam family "Bacterial small subunit ribosomal RNA", at positions 71 to 606 of the family's 1533-position model. The record is from RNAcentral.